AUGGACGCACAGGAAAAGACCAUAUCAAUAAUAAAUAGAAAAGAGUCCAGAAAGGUGCAACACUGAUACUGAGCUGAGUUGGAGGAAAAUGAGGCUUGCGAUCUGCGCAGAAGGUGAUUGAAAUAACAGCACUGUCUGAUCAUGUGAAGACCAUGCGCCAAGCCACAGACUAUUGGUCCGUGCAUGUGAUCAAUGCAUGGGCUGGUGAGGGGAUGCUUUUGGUUAAACUGCUGCACCUUCUGAACAGUUUCAAUCAUAUUAAUU
This is a long non-coding RNA of Sebastes umbrosus (honeycomb rockfish), 264 nucleotides long. RefSeq lists it as uncharacterized. The transcript has 3 exons. The record is from RefSeq and is a predicted model, not a curated record. Lineage: Eukaryota; Metazoa; Chordata; Actinopteri; Perciformes; Sebastidae.